RNAcentral lists this long non-coding RNA (798 nucleotides) under Amphimedon queenslandica. RNAcentral's name for it is "uncharacterized LOC109582024, transcript variant X2". Lineage: Eukaryota; Metazoa; Porifera; Demospongiae; Haplosclerida; Niphatidae. The record is from RNAcentral.
GCAAGUCAGGCAGUACUACAUUAGGAGAGAAUUCAAUAUUUGACUCAUUUCUGAUUGCCUUUCUUUGUGUAUCAAUGCUGAUCUUGGUUUUUGCUGUAAUGAUCAAAUUAGUACAGAUUCAUGUACUGUUAUCAUCAGUUCUUUAGAAUUACACAGUAAUACUUCAUGCAGACCUGAAUCCAGCUCUAUAGUGUUUUGAGCUCCCAGCAAGUUCAUGGACCUGCAUAUGGAGUUUGCUCAUGAAGUUCUCCUUUUAUCAAGAGAUGUUGAGCUCAAUCCUGGGCCCAUAGCAGCUAUACUCAUUCUAGUAAACUACAUAACUGAUGUCGUUGCUGAUAAUUUUUUAAGUGUCACUAAUGAGCUUUUUGCUGUCCAGCUAAUACCAAACAAGGAAGGAUAUCAAGAGAACAUUCAUGGGUGUGCCUGAUUAUAAUAAGAAUUUGACUGACAUCUGUCAUGUCUUAUACAGCAGCAAAACCGGUCACUUAUUGACUUUGCUACAUGUGUACUUCUAUAUUAUACCAACUUGCUUUUACGUCAGGUUAAUUAUCACAGCUGGUGGAUAAUUCUGAACCAAUGGAGAGAGAAAUGAUAUCAGUGUAGAAUGUUUGAGCCGAUUCUCACUUAAUUUUUAAACGUUAUGACGGUCUCAUCCCUGUACUUCUAGUCAGUUGUUUCAUUUUGGUUGGAUACUCUACAUUCACAUUAAAAGUUAGUUUUAUAAUUUCAAAUGUCAUUCAUCCUUUUUGAAACAAUGACAAGAAAAUAGGAAUAAACUUAGAUGUUACUCAACUAAAC